RNAcentral lists this ribosomal RNA (253 nucleotides) under uncultured bacterium. RNAcentral's name for it is "partial 16S ribosomal RNA". It matches the Rfam family "Bacterial small subunit ribosomal RNA", at positions 524 to 776 of the family's 1533-position model. The record is from RNAcentral.
UACGGGGGGGGCAAGCGUUGUUCGGAAUUACUGGGCGUAAAGGGCUCGUAGGUGGCCAACUAAGUCAGACGUGAAAUCCCUCAGCUUAACUGGGGAACUGCGUCUGAUACUGGAUGGCUCGAGUUUGGGAGAGGGACGCGGAAUUCCAGGUGUAGCGGUGAAAUGCGUAGAUAUCUGGAGGAACACCGGUGGCGAAGGCGGCGUCCUGGACCAACACUGACACUGAGGAGCGAAAGCCAGGGGAGCAAACGGG